Molecule: ribosomal RNA, 373 nt
Filed under: uncultured bacterium
Lineage: Bacteria
Description: bacterial SSU rRNA
Rfam family: Bacterial small subunit ribosomal RNA
Source: RNAcentral
AUACGUAGGUGGCGAGCGUUGUCCGGAAUUACUGGGCGUAAAGGGUGCGUAGGCGGAUAAUCAAGUCAGAUGUGAAAGUCCAUGGCUUAACUGUGGGAGUGCAUUUGAGACUGAAGAUCUAGAGUGCAGGAGAGGGAAGCGGAAUUCCUAGUGUAGCGGUGAAAUGCGUAGAUAUUAGGAAGAACACCAGUGGAAGGCGGCUUUCUGGACUGUAACUGACGCUGAAGCACGAAAGCGUGGGGAGCAAACAGGAUUAGAUACCCUGGUAGUCCACGCCGUAAACGAUGAGUAUUAGGUGUAGGGGACGAUAGUCUUCUGUGCCGGAGCAAACGCAAUAAAUACUCCGCCUGGGGAGUACGGUCACAAGACUAAA